UUAUAAUGGAUCCUCACAUACACAAGUAAAUGCACUAGGCAAUGGGUAUGAGUGACCAAUGAGGUCUUACACUCUACCCCUUCCAUGUCAUGGGAACAGAUGCCACCUUACAGGGACUUAUAACUGGUUCCUCAAUGGGUAAGCAAACAAUGUCACAAGGACAAAUGACAUGAACAUGCACUAAUGGCAAUCAAAGGUAAAAUGCAC
This 207-nucleotide long non-coding RNA is filed under the name Lathyrus oleraceus (garden pea). Its description in RNAcentral is "Pisum sativum (pea) long non-coding RNA (PSAT_LNC012937)". Lineage: Eukaryota; Viridiplantae; Streptophyta; Magnoliopsida; Fabales; Fabaceae. The record is from RNAcentral.